This 458-nucleotide ribosomal RNA is filed under the name uncultured bacterium. Its description in RNAcentral is "partial 16S ribosomal RNA". It matches the Rfam family "Bacterial small subunit ribosomal RNA", at positions 338 to 795 of the family's 1533-position model. The record is from RNAcentral.
CCUACGGGAGGCAGCAGUGAGGAAUAUUGGUCAAUGGGCGAGAGCCUGAUCCAGCCAAGUCGCGUGAGGGAGUACUGCCCUAUGGGUUGUAAACCUCUUUUGUCGGGGAGCAAAAGCCGGACGUGUCCGGCUGUUAGAGUACCCGAAGAAAAAGCAUCGGCUAACUCCGUGCAAGCAGCCGCGGUAAUACGGAGGAUGCGAGCGUUAUCCGGAUUUAUUGGGGUUAAAGGGUGCGCAGGGGGAUUUUUAAGUCAGCGGUAAAAUCGUGGGGAUAAACCCCAUCCAGCCGUUGAAACUGGGGAUCUAGAGUGUGAGAGAGGUAUGCGGAAGGCGUGGUGUAGCGGUGAAAUGCAUAGAUAUCACGCAGAACCCCGAUUGCGAAGGCAGCAUACCGGUGCACAACUGACGCUCAGGCACGAAAGCGUGGGUAUCGAACAGGAUUAGAUACCCGGGUAGUC